GGAGAGUUAGCUCAGUCGGGAGAGCACAUGCGUCACAUGCAUGGGGUCAUGGGUUCGAGCCCCAUACUUUCCACCA
This 76-nucleotide transfer RNA is filed under the name Erysipelotrichaceae bacterium. RNAcentral describes it as "tRNA-Val". It matches the Rfam family "tRNA". From Rfam's summary of the family: Transfer RNA (tRNA) molecules are approximately 80 nucleotides in length. Their secondary structure includes four short double-helical elements and three loops (D, anti-codon, and T loops). The record is from RNAcentral. Lineage: Bacteria; Bacillati; Bacillota; Erysipelotrichia; Erysipelotrichales; Erysipelotrichaceae.